RNAcentral lists this ribosomal RNA (433 nucleotides) under uncultured bacterium. Its description in RNAcentral is "partial 16S ribosomal RNA". It matches the Rfam family "Bacterial small subunit ribosomal RNA", at positions 29 to 507 of the family's 1533-position model. The record is from RNAcentral.
AACGAACGCUGGCGGCAGGCCUAACACAUGCAAGUCGAGCGGACCUUUCGGGGUCAGCGGCGGACGGGUGAGUAACGCGUGGGAAUAUGCCCUUCUCUACGGAAUAGUCCUGGGAAACUGGGGGUAAUACCGUAUACGCCCUUUGGGGGAAAGAUUUAUCGGGGAAGGAUUAGCCCGCGUUGGAUUAGGUAGUUGGUGGGGUAAUGGCCUACCAAGCCGACGAUCCAUAGCUGGUUUGAGAGGAUGAUCAGCCACACUGGGACUGAGACACGGCCCAGACUCCUACGGGAGGCAGCAGUGGGGGAUCUUAGACAAUGGGGGCAACCCUGAUCUAGCCAUGACGCGUGAGUGAUGAAGGCCUUAGGGUUGUAAAGCUCUUUCAGCUGGGAAGAUAAUGACGGUACCAGCAGAAGAAGCCCCGGCUAACUCCGUG